RNAcentral lists this ribosomal RNA (301 nucleotides) under uncultured bacterium. Its description in RNAcentral is "bacterial SSU rRNA". It matches the Rfam family "Bacterial small subunit ribosomal RNA", at positions 335 to 620 of the family's 1533-position model. The record is from RNAcentral.
ACUCCUACGGGAGGCAGCAGUGGGGAAUAUUGCACAAUGGGCGCAAGCCUGAUGCAGCCAUGCCGCGUGUGGUGAAGAAGGCCUUCGGGUUGUAAAGCCACUUUCAGUUCGUGAGGAAGGUAGUGUAGUUAAUAGCUGCAUUAUUUGACGUUAGCGGAACCAGAAGAAGCACCGGCUAACUCCGUGCCAGCAGCCGCGGUAAUACGGAGGGUGCGAGCGUUAAUCGGAAUUACUGGGCGUAAAGCGCAUGCAGGUUGGUUUUGUUAAGUCAGAUGUGAAAGCCCGGGGCUCAACCUCGGAA